Non-coding RNA from Kogia breviceps (pygmy sperm whale), 728 nucleotides. NCBI's taxonomy places the organism in Eukaryota, Metazoa, Chordata, Mammalia, Artiodactyla, Physeteridae. The record is from RefSeq and is a predicted model, not a curated record.
AUGCAUCAGUUUAAGGCGAGUGUCAUUUCUUCAACGGGAUGGAGCAGGUGCGGUUCUUGGCCAGAUACACCUACAGCGCGCAGAAGGAUGUGCACUUCGACAGCGACGUGGGGGAGUUCACUGCGGUGAUCGAGCUGGGGAGGCCGGACGCCGAGUACUGGGAGCACUGGAACAGCCAGAAGGACCUCCUGGAGCGGACGCGGGCCGAGCUGGGCACGAUGUGCAGAUCCAGCUACUGGGGUAUUGGGAGCUUCGUGAGGCAGCAGCGAGUGGCGCCUACAGUGACUGUGUAUCCUGCAAAGACACAGCCCCUGCAGCACCACAACCUCCUGAUCUGCUCUGUGAAUGGUUUCUAUCCAGGCCACACUGCAGUCAGGUGGUUCCGGAACGGCCAGGAAGAGGAGGCGGGGGUGGUCUCCACAGGCCUGAUCCCUAAUGGAGACUGGACCUUCCAGACCAUGGUGAUGCUUGAAACAGUCCCUCGGAGUGGAGAGGUCUACACCUGCCACGUGGAGCACCCCAGCCGGACCAGCCCUGUCACAGUGGAAUGGAGGGCACAGUCUGAAUGUGCUCAGAGCAAGAUGCUGAGUGGAAUCGGAGGCUUUGUUCUGGGUCUGCUCUUCCUUGGGGUGGGGCUGUUCAUCUACUUCAGGAAUCAGAAAGUUGACCUCAAAUUUCCUGGAAAUCCAGAAAUUGACAGUCCAUGAUUAGCUGUGGUUGAAACAUAA